Molecule: unclassified non-coding RNA, 306 nt
Filed under: plant metagenome
Description: partial contains 5.8S ribosomal RNA, internal transcribed spacer 2, and large subunit ribosomal RNA
Rfam family: 5.8S ribosomal RNA (bases 1-105)
Source: RNAcentral
GAAAUGCGAUAAGUAAUGUGAAUUGCAGAAUUCAGUGAAUCAUCGAAUCUUUGAACGCACAUUGCGCCCGCCAGUAUUCUGGCGGGCAUGCCUGUCCGAGCGUCAUUUCAACCAUCAAGCCCCCGGGCUUGUGUUGGGGACCUGCGGCUGCCCGCAGGCCCUGAAAACCAGUGGCGGGCUCGCUGUCACACCGAGCGUAGUAGCAAUCACCUCGCUCAGGGCGUGCUGCGGGUUCCGGCCGUUAAACAGCCUUACAAAACCCAAGGUUGACCUCGGGUCAGGUAGGAAGACCCGCUGAACUUAAGC